Molecule: unclassified non-coding RNA, 375 nt
Filed under: uncultured Actinomycetes bacterium
Lineage: Bacteria; Bacillati; Actinomycetota; Actinomycetes
Description: uncultured actinobacterium contains 16S-23S intergenic spacer region
Source: RNAcentral
UCCGGUUUGUCACCGGCGGUCUCCGUAGAGUGCCCAACUGAAUGGUGGCAACAUAGAACGAGGGUUGCGCUCGUUGCGGGACUUAACCCAACAUCUCACGACACGAGCUGACGACAACCAUGCACCACCUGUGUAGGGCCCCGAAGGACACCGUAUCUCUACGGCUUUUCCCUACAUGUCAAACCCAGGUAAGGUUCUUCGCGUUGCAUCGAAUUAAUCCGCAUGCUCCGCCGCUUGUGCGGGCCCCCGUCAAUUCCUUUGAGUUUUAGCCUUGCGGCCGUACUCCCCAGGCGGGGCGCUUAAUGCGUUAGCUGCGGCACAGGGAACCGGAGAGACCCCCCACACCUAGCGCCCAACGUUUACAGCGUGGACUAC